Long non-coding RNA from Mustela lutreola (European mink), 2900 nucleotides. RefSeq lists it as uncharacterized. The transcript is spliced from 3 exons. NCBI's taxonomy places the organism in Eukaryota, Metazoa, Chordata, Mammalia, Carnivora, Mustelidae. The record is from RefSeq and is a predicted model, not a curated record.
AUUUCCCUUUUCUCCACCCUUCCUUUAAGACGCCGAUAAGGGACAAGUCGUACUAAUGUGUGUGAGGUUUCACCCCCUCCCCCCGCCCUGCUUGAGAAGGAUCUUUUCUCUCUGGGGUCGAUCGCCUUCCAAUGGGCCGACUUUCACGCCAGCUGCGAGGACCCUGGACUGGGCCUUUCCCAAUUGUAGGACACUGAUUUACCGAAGAAUGACCGCAGCCUUUCCUUCCCCAAACGCUCGCCCCGAAGGGAAACAAAAGGAGCUAGGUGCUUCUUUUGUUUCUGAAAUUCGGGAAAAGCCAGACCUCAACGACUGGGCACUUUAAAAUGUUCCUGUAUCUGUGACAAAAUUGUAUCGUCACACAUUUCAUUCGUUUCUUCCCCUACAGGUCGGGACGUUUCCAAAUUUCAUUUUGAACACUGGGGCACAGCUCACUGCAUUUUUGUUGAGAGCAUCUCUGGGUUAGAUUCUUAGACCCAUAAGUAUCUUACCAUAACUUCAUCAAACCUGUUAAAUAUUAAAACAGGAUGAAGCAAAAACAGUUAGGAAUGCCUUAAUGGGCAACAUAAGAUAACUGAGAUGGUGCAUACCUAGAUUUCAAUCAUAGCAGAGCCUGGUGACCUAUAAUCAGGCCGGGAACCCUAAUCAAGCCCUUAUUACUGAUCCAAAUUGAAAAGUAUCAGGAAUUUCGUAAGAUUAAAAUGUCUUCCUGAAAACAAAUACCAGUGAUGACAAAUAUUUGUGUUUCUUACGAAGGUACAUGUUCCAAGAUGCUUUCCUCCAAGAAAGAAAAGAAACUGACCUUGCAUUUAGGGUACUUUAAUCAUUUCCCUCAAAUUCUGACCUCCAAGCUGUUUUAUAAGCUGCUUAAUUUAAAAAAAAAAAAUGUUUAUCUGAUUUCUGCAUUGUUGUUUGAGGAAAUUUUUUAGAAGGCCCUUCAUUAAAAAUGUUCUCUAUGAGUUAAGUCAUUAUAUUUUGUUCAAAUUGAGGAGAUGGUGUUUAAUGAUGGAUCUUUUCCUAGGGGCAAUUUUUUAUUUAAAUUAUUUUCUAGAACUCUCAGUAUUCCAUUUAUUUCAGCAAUCGUAAUUAGCUAGUAAUACAAAUUAAAAAUUGUAUUUUAAGAAGCAAAUUUUGGGGUACAUUUUUAGGGUGCCUUGUGAAAGUUACCUCAUUUUUCUCCCCACAGCUUCCCUGGGCACAUAGGCAAUUGCUUUUAUCUUCAUAGGGUGACUGAGCUGAGAGGCAAAGGACCAUGAUUUUGCACCACAAACGUAAUUAAUGCACGUGGGAUAGUCCUAGUCUGCAUAAUCUUGGCAAGACCACAGUUGAUGGGUGUAGUCUACCCUAUUUGGAUUAGCAAAUCCUGCUAAAUUGUUAACUUGCAGUUGAAGAAUUUGGCUCCAGCCUGAUUAUACUAACAGUUUUUAAGAGGUAGGUUUUGCUGCUGUAUCUGAAAAGGGUCAGAGUUACCGGGGCUAUAUAUGAUCUGACCACUUUGGGUGCAUAGAAGGGUCUCCUGGCUCUGACAGCUGCCCUAUGGUCUGAGGAUACUUGAGGAGCUUGGUCCUUGAAAUGGAUCCUUAGGAGGGAGGCAUCACUGAUACCUGAGGAUAAUAUUGAAGCUAAAUUUGAUGUCAGUAGAAUACAGUAAUGAAGUCACAGAAUUACCCAAGGAUAGUGCAGUGACUUUUUUCAUAGGGUCCUUGCACCAGAUAUUUUUCCAUUUUCCAGGCUGUUUAAUCCUUGGAGAUAAUACUUCAUCCUACUUUUUAACCACAAGCUAAAAGAAAUCAGUCACCUGUUGAGUUUGCGAGGUGUUUGUUUUUGCAAGUUGUUUUAAAUAGAUGUUGUAUGGGGCACUUGGGUGGCUCAGUUUGUUAUGCAUCCAACUUCUGAUAGCUCAGGCCAUGAUCUCAGGGUUGUGAGAUGGAGCCCCAUGUUGGGGGGUCUGAGCUCAGCAUGGAGUCUGCUUGUCCCUCUCCCUCUACUUCUCCCCACCCCCCCUUUCUCUCUCUCAAAUAAAUAAAAUCUUUAAAAUAAAUAGACAAGUACUAUGCCUUACAGGCCAACCAACAGUAAAGAUAAUAUAAUUCACAAAGAACUGCAUUCUAGAUGCUUGAAACGAAUAUUCCUUGAGCAAAAACAUUUCAUUCCCUUUCAUUAAUUACCUCUCUUUUUCUUAUCCUUAGACACUUAUCAACGGAAGGUUUCUUGCAGAUUCUAUGCUUCCCAGGAGACAUGGAUGAUGUCAUAAGCUAUCAGACAGAUCGCCUUUUCUACAUCAUCCACUAAGUCAUGACUUAACAAAUUCAGACCUGCAAUUGUCCUAGAUGCACCCAGCUAUAUCCCUAGCACUAUUAAUUUUUAGGGAUGAAGCUUGUGAACUUGCAUCAUACUUGAGAAACUGGAGACCAUCUGCAGAGAAUGCCUCAACUUCAGAAGAUCAUUUCUGUGAUCACUUGCUCUUGCAUCUUUCUUGUUUCAAUGGAAGAGAACUCCUAUCAGAAAGAACUCCACCCCUUGUACUCUGGAUCUCAUCCUUCUCUCCUGCUCAAGGACUUGAUUCUUCAAUCAAUGCUUGUGAAGUUUCUUAGAUCUUUUUUUUUUUUUUUUAAAGUUUUAAGUAUGUUCCAUGCCCAACAUAGCACUUGAACUCAUUCAUGACCCCGAGAUCAAGGGUCACAUGCUCUACUGCCCGUGAAAUUUCUUAAUUGAAAAAAAAAGGCUUAAUAUUUUAUUUUGCUAUAUUCAUACAAAUAAAAUUUUUAAAAAAUUACCUUUUAUGUUGAAACAGAUAUUAGGGGUUUUUUUUUAAACUAUUUAAAAUGUUGCAGUAUUGAUACCUAAAACCUUGGGAGACAGUGGAAAGAUAAUCUUAUGUGAAGCCACAGCUUAAAAAA